GAUGAACGCUGGCGGCGUGCUUAACACAUGCAAGUCGAACGGGGUACCCCCAAAGGAGUUUUCGGACAACUGCGGGGAAUACCUAGUGGCGGACGGGUGAGUAACGCGUGAGUAACCUGCCUUGGAGUGGGGAAUAACAGCUGGAAACAGCUGCUAAUACCGCAUAAUGCAGUUGGGUCGCAUGGCUCUGACUGCCAAAGAUUUAUCGCUCUGAGAUGGACUCGCGUCUGAUUAGCUAGUUGGUGGGGCAACGGCCCACCAAGGCGACGAUCAGUAGCCGGACUGAGAGGUUGGCCGGCCACAUUGGGACUGAGACACGGCCCAG
Molecule: ribosomal RNA, 325 nt
Filed under: uncultured bacterium
Lineage: Bacteria
Description: bacterial SSU rRNA
Rfam family: Bacterial small subunit ribosomal RNA
Source: RNAcentral